GUGUCAGCAGCCGCGGUAAUACGGAGGAUGCGAGCGUUAUCCGGAUUUAUUGGGUUUAAAGGGUGCGUAGGCGGAAGAAUAAGUCAGUGGUGAAACCCUGCAGCUUAACUGUAGACUUGCCAUUGAUACUGUUUUUCUUGAGUUUGGUCAAGGCAGGCGGAAUGUGUAAUGUAGCGGUGAAAUGCUUAGAUAUUACACAGAACACCGAUUGCGAAGGCAGCUUGCUGGGCCGACACUGACGCUGAGGCACGAAAGCGUGGGGAUCGAACAGGAUUAGAAACCCCUGUAGUCC
RNAcentral lists this ribosomal RNA (292 nucleotides) under uncultured bacterium. RNAcentral's name for it is "partial 16S ribosomal RNA". It matches the Rfam family "Bacterial small subunit ribosomal RNA", at positions 505 to 796 of the family's 1533-position model. The record is from RNAcentral.